CAAUAGCGUAUAUUAAAGUUGUUGCAGUUAAAAAGCUCGUAGUUGGAUUUCUGGCUGGAGCGAUCGGUCCGCCCCGCAAGGGGUGUGUACUAGCGUCGUCUCCGACCAUCCUUGUGGGAACUGUGCGGCCGUUAACUCGGUUGUAUAUGGGAACACAUCGUUUACUGUGAAAAAAUUAGAGUGUUUAAAGCAGGCUUAAGCCGUUGAAUACAUUAGCAUGGAAUAAUAAGAUAAGACUUGGGUCAUUAUUUUGUUGGUUUGCGGAUCGAGGUAAUGAUUAAUAGGGAUAGUUGGGGGUAUUCAUAUUUAUUGUCAGAGGUAGAAUUCUUGGUAUUUAUAGAAAGAAUGAACUUAGGACGAAAGCUA
This 366-nucleotide ribosomal RNA is filed under the name uncultured eukaryote. Its description in RNAcentral is "SSU rRNA". It matches the Rfam family "Eukaryotic small subunit ribosomal RNA", at positions 592 to 954 of the family's 1831-position model. The record is from RNAcentral.